ACGUUAAUAGACGUGCUUGUUUGACGUUUAGCUUGCAGAAGAAGCACCGGCUAACUCCGUGCCAGCAGCCGCGGUAAUACGGAGGGUGCGAGCGUUAAUCGGAAUUACUGGGCGUAAAGCGCAUGCAGGUGGUUGUUAAGUUCAGAUGUGAAAGACCCGGGGCGUCAACCUCGGAAUUGCAUUUGAAAACUGGCAGACUAGAGUACUGUAGAGGGGGUAGAAUUUCAGGUGUAGCGGUGAAAUGCGUAGAGAUCUGAAGGAAUACCGGUGGCGAAGGCGGCCCCCUCGGACAGAAUACUGACACUCAGAUGCGAAAAGCGUGGGGAGCAAACAGGAUUAGAUACCCUGGUAG
RNAcentral lists this ribosomal RNA (352 nucleotides) under uncultured bacterium. Its description in RNAcentral is "bacterial SSU rRNA". It matches the Rfam family "Bacterial small subunit ribosomal RNA", at positions 449 to 793 of the family's 1533-position model. The record is from RNAcentral.